GUACACUCCUACGGGAGGCAGCAGUGGGGAAUAUUGCACAAUGGGCGCAAGCCUGAUGCAGCCAUGCCGCGUGUAUGAAGAAGGCCUUCGGGUUGUAAAGUACUUUCAGCGGGGAGGAAGGCGAUAAGGUUAAUAACCUUGUCGAUUGACGUUACCCGCAGAAGAAGCACCGGCUAACUCCGUGCCAGCAGCCGCGGUAAUACGGAGGGUGCAAGCGUUAAUCGGAAUUACUGGGCGUAAAGCGCACGCAGGCGGUCUGUCAAGUCGGAUGUGAAAUCCCCGGGCUCAACCUGGGAACUGCAUUCGAAACUGGCAGGCUAGAGUCUUGUAGAGGGGGGUAGAAUUCCAGGUGUAGCGGUGAAAUGCGUAGAGAUCUGGAGGAAUACCGGUGGCGAAGGCGGCCCCCUGGACAAAGACUGACGCUCAGGUGCGAAAGCGUGGGGAGCAAACAGGAUUAGAUACCCCUGUAGUCCCAUG
Molecule: ribosomal RNA, 477 nt
Filed under: uncultured organism
Description: partial 16S ribosomal RNA
Rfam family: Bacterial small subunit ribosomal RNA
Source: RNAcentral